RNAcentral lists this unclassified non-coding RNA (315 nucleotides) under plant metagenome. Its description in RNAcentral is "partial contains 5.8S ribosomal RNA, internal transcribed spacer 2, and large subunit ribosomal RNA". The stretch from base 1 to 105 matches the Rfam family "5.8S ribosomal RNA", at positions 50 to 154 of the family's 154-position model. The record is from RNAcentral.
GAACUGCGAUAAGUAAUGUGAAUUGCAGAAUUCAGUGAAUCAUCGAGUCUUUGAACGCACAUUGCGCCCCCUGGCAUUCCGGGGGGCAUGCCUGUCCGAGCGUCAUUGCUGCCCUUCAAGCCCGGCUUGUGUGUUGGGUCGUCGUCCCCUCCGGGGGACGGGCCCGAAAGGCAGCGGCGGCACCGCGUCCGGUCCUCGAGCGUAUGGGGCUUUGUCACCCGCCCGAUAAGGACCGGCCGGGCGCCAGACGGCGUCUCCAACCUUUUUUUCUCAGGUUGACCUCGGAUCAGGUAGGGAUACCCGCUGAACUUAAGC